Molecule: ribosomal RNA, 521 nt
Filed under: Fusarium avenaceum
Lineage: Eukaryota; Fungi; Ascomycota; Sordariomycetes; Hypocreales; Nectriaceae
Description: eukaryotic LSU rRNA
Rfam family: 5.8S ribosomal RNA (bases 182-335)
Source: RNAcentral
UCCGUAGGUGAACCUGCGGAGGGAUCAUUACCGAGUUUACAACUCCCAAACCCCUGUGAACAUACCUUAAUGUUGCCUCGGCGGAUCAGCCCGCGCCCCGUAAAACGGGACGGCCCGCCAGAGGACCCAAACUCUAAUGUUUCUUAUUGUAACUUCUGAGUAAAACAAACAAAUAAAUCAAAACUUUCAACAACGGAUCUCUUGGUUCUGGCAUCGAUGAAGAACGCAGCAAAAUGCGAUAAGUAAUGUGAAUUGCAGAAUUCAGUGAAUCAUCGAAUCUUUGAACGCACAUUGCGCCCGCUGGUAUUCCGGCGGGCAUGCCUGUUCGAGCGUCAUUUCAACCCUCAAGCCCCCGGGUUUGGUGUUGGGGAUCGGCUCUGCCUUCUGGCGGUGCCGCCCCCGAAAUACAUUGGCGGUCUCGCUGCAGCCUCCAUUGCGUAGUAGCUAACACCUCGCUACUGGAACGCGGCGCGGCCAUGCCGUAAAACCCCAACUUCUGAAUGUUGACCUCGGAUCAGGUA